UGCGGGGGGGGCAAGCGUUGUUCGGAAUUACUGGGCGUAAAGGGCUCGUAGGUGGCCAACUAAGUCAGACGUGAAAUCCCUCGGCUUAACCGGGGAACUGCGUCUGAUACUGGAUGGCUUGAGUUCGGGAGAGGGAUGCGGAAUUCCAGGUGUAGCGGUGAAAUGCGUAGAUAUCUGGAGGAACGCCGGUGGCGAAGGCGGCAUCCUGGACCGAUACUGACGCUGAGGAGCGAAAGCCAGGGGAGCAAACGGG
Molecule: ribosomal RNA, 253 nt
Filed under: uncultured bacterium
Lineage: Bacteria
Description: partial 16S ribosomal RNA
Rfam family: Bacterial small subunit ribosomal RNA
Source: RNAcentral